RNAcentral lists this unclassified non-coding RNA (373 nucleotides) under soil metagenome. Its description in RNAcentral is "partial contains 5.8S ribosomal RNA, internal transcribed spacer 2, and large subunit ribosomal RNA". The stretch from base 1 to 121 matches the Rfam family "5.8S ribosomal RNA", at positions 35 to 154 of the family's 154-position model. The record is from RNAcentral.
GAUGAAGAACGCAUUGAAAUGCGAUAAGUAAUGCGAAUUGCAGAAUUCCAGUGAGUCAUCGAAUCUUUGAACGCACAUUGCGCCCUUUGGUAUUCCGAAGGGCAUGCCUGUUCGAGCGUCAUUAUCACCCCUCAAGCCCUCGGCUUGGUGUUGGACGGUUUGGUGGAGGCCCCCUCGGGGGCUCCUGCCCCUCCCAAAGACAAUGACGGCGGCCUCGUUGGACCCCCGGUACACUGAGUUCUUCACGGGACACGUAUCGGACACAUGGGUUUACGGGACACGGUCUGCCUCCCCUCAGGGAGAAUCUUUCUAAGGUUGACCUCGGAUCAGGUAGGGAUACCCGCUGAACUUAAGCAUAUCAAUAAGCGGAGGA